GUAUCCAUGAGGAGGCAGGUUCAAUCCCUGGCCUUGCUCAGUGGGUUAAGGAUCUGGCAUUGCCCAUUAGCUGUGGUAUAGGUCACAGACGAGGCUGGGAUCCUGCGUUGCUGUGGCUGUGGUAUAGGCCAGCGGCUACAGACCCUUAGCCUGGGAUAGCCUAGGAACCUCCAUAUGCUGUAGGUGCAGCCCUAAAAAAAAAAAAAGAAGAAGAAGAAAGAAAUGCUGGACUUCUUAAACUCAGAGAGAGACAGACAGAGAGAUCAUUAACCCUGGGGAGCCCGUGAGCCUUAUCCUGAGCAUAUUCAUUCACUUUCUCAUGGUCUUUGAGAUAGCUGGGCAUUUGAAGCAGGGCAUCCAAGGGGUCACCUUUGGCCAGCUGCUGAGUCCUGUUGCCUUGGAUGGCCUUCCCCGGCAGAUGUGAUGUGCUGCUCUUCUUGCCAGCUCUCUCCUCUGUGUCUGCUUCCUGGGGGCACCCCACCCUCAUGUCACCAGCAGGGCUGCCUCUGGGUGAAAGCACUUACUCCUGCCACAGGCCCCUGUCAUCUCUGACAGCCCAGAUGCCCAACGCAGCCCUCCCUCUGGUCCUGGUGUCAGAGUCAAAGGCCUGGCACCAGCUUUCGCCAGCAGAAUGUGCCUCUUCCCUGCUAUAGCGCAAAAAAGUACCGAACAUGUCAAUUAAAAUAGAGUGGAAGAGGGCAGAGCGAGGUAGGCGAGAUCUGGCGUUUACCAAGAUAACCCAUUUCCUGCUGGGCUGAUGGCUUUCUUUAGGCCUCACAGUCCUGCUUGAUUAAUGGGCAGGUCAUUUCCCACCAACACCAUGAACAUAGCUACUGCUUUCAGCAUCUGUCUCCUUUGCCCUAUUCUAGCAGACUUCUCUCUGUCCUAUAAUUUGCUCUCUUCUUUAGCAAAAGGGUUUGACCUUAGAACUACCUACAUAUUUCCAUGAGAGGAGAAUCCCCCGACACAACCACAUACAGAGAUGUCAGAAAAGGAGCCCUAUUUCUUUUCAUUUGCCUCUUUGUCUUUGGGCUUUCCCAUUACAUUCCAUGACAUGAUAAAAGCUCGAUUUUUAGAGCUGCAAGGGGGCUUCACUACAGCGAGUCUAACAGAGGAGAGAAUGGAGGCCCAGGGAUUUGAAUCGACUUGCAUAGGGCUUCACAGAUGCUCUUUUCCUACCUUGCUUUCUAGGUGAUGCACACUCUCACUGCACAGCUGUGUUCCCAGGCUUCCUGUACCUCAAAAACCUGAUCUAAGACCUAGAGAGGCAAUCCCAUACAUGUGGGGCUGAAAGCCAAGCCCAUGAUGCCGAAUCGGUCCUGCCCCUCACUAGCUUUCUUCCUGGACAGUGGGAAGUCACAGCAGUGAGACAGAGGGUCAGUGCUGGCAAAGCUCUAUGGUCCAAACACACAGUGAGUUCUACUUUACAAACUCCUUUUUAGACAGGAAUGAGUACGCAGAGGUGGUUAAUGGGUUCGCAACAAACCCCCAAAUAUGGCAACUGAGCGUAUUGACUAUCUUAGGCUGAAGGAGUCCAGGGAAAAGGCAGAAUCGGGGGGUAAUAGAUACAAACUAUUGCCUUUGUUAUGGAUAAGUGCUGUGAUGGAGCGUGAUAAUGUGAGAAAAAGAAUGUAUACAUGUAUGCGUGACUGGGUCACUUUGGGCUACAGCAGAAAAUUGACAGAACCCUGUAAACCAACUAUAAUGGAAAAAAUAAAAAUCAUUAAAAAAGGAAGAAAAAAAAAGAAAGGUCACCCUUGGAAUUCCUGUUGUGGCUCAGGGGGUUACAAACCUGGCUAGUAUCCAUGAGGAUUUGGGUUUGAUUCCUGGCCUCACUCGGUGGGUUAAGGGUCCAGCGUUGCCAUGAGCUGUGGUGUAGGUCAAAGAUAGGGCUCAGGUCUCACGUUGCUGUGGCUGUGGUUCAAGAUUCAGUCCUUAGCCUGGGAUCAUCCAUAUGCCUCACCUGCGGCCCUAAACAACAACAACAACAACAAAAGGAAGAAAGAAAAGAAAAUUCACCCUGACCUCUACCCUUGCCCUUGCUCCCUGAGACAGGUCAAAAAACUCUCCUGUAAAGUUCCUUUCCUGUUUCAGGAGGAAAAAGAGAUGUCCUUAUCCAUAGAGAGGGGGGCGUUUCGAGCAGAGAAAUCUGUAUAAACAAACCUUGUUAAACUGACCCUUAUCUUCCUAGUUACUUCUCUACCAUGUAGUAACUCAAACCCAAAAACGGUGUUGUCUUGUCGAUUUUUCACAGAUUCAUGUUCUUUGCCUAAAAGGUAUAAAAGCUUCCUGCUCUGGUCAUUUUGUCAGGUCUUGAUUUUCUUGUGAGGGCUCCCAUGCACAUGUGAAAAUUCAGUAAAAUAGGGGUUCUCAAUGUGGCACAGUGGGUGAAGAAUCCAGCUGCAGUGGCUUGGAUUUGUGAGGAGGUGCAGGUUCGAGCCCCAGCACAGUAGGUUAAAGGAUCGUUACAACUUGGAUGCUGUCCCUGGCCCAGUAACUUCCAUAUGCUACGAGUGGGCCCAUAAAAUUUUUAAAAAUAUGUACGCUUUUCUCUUGACAAAGUUUAUCUUUGUCAGUUUAAUUUUCAGAGCCUGCCAGAGACCCUAAGCGGGUCAAGGAAAAGGCUUCCCUUCCUGCAAAGCAAACCAUGUAUGGUUCACUCAACUUAUUUAAUGUACCUAAAUAAGUUAAAGACCAAUGCUCUAUAAGUUGGUAGAUCAGCAGAUUGCCAAAUCUUAUUUUUCCAAGUAAGCAAAUAAAAAAAUCAACUUAUGAGCACAUCUAUCUUUUUAACUAAAGAGCACCUAAAUUCAGAAUAGUAGAAAGGGUACAAUUUGAGAAGUAAAAACCGUCCUUCUCACAAAGGAACAAUAGUUUUGCUUCUGGUGUGAAAAACAUUGUCAGGGCUGUGUCAGCACAAAGCCUGGAGCUCACAUGCCCCUGUCUCCAGCUCAUCUUCUCUAAGGAUGAAGCAUGUUGCCAGAGGCCGUCCAUAGCUCCCUUCCCUCCUACCUUCCCACGGCAAGGCUCAGGGGCUCUGACUGUGAAGACAAUGUCAAGGCUUCUAAAUGAAGCAGCUGCCAAUCCCUUGAGCCUUAGCCAGUGUUUUCUCAAGUCUGCACAUAAAUCCAACUUGCCAGAAUCGGAUCCCAUGAAAAUCAUCAGAGGUAGAUGACAGGCAAAUCUACAAAAUGAAAUGUAACCUCAGAGAAGAGCAACCCCGGCCCUUUGUUGCAAAAUCCAUCUGCACUUCUGGGGAAGCCUAUACACAUGGUGCAUGAGAAACAAACAGCAAGCUUACUGACAGAUCAGCCAGUGUGGACUUCAACUGCAUGAACUCACAUGCCCCUGUGUCCAGACUUAGGAUGGUGACGGCUGUGCUCAGCUCUGUGGAAUUCAGACCACAUCUGGAGGUGAGGUGCCAACAGGGAUGGAGGCAGACUGAAACUGGCAGGUGAUGGGAAGGGCCAAGACCCUGGGCUGUGUUGUGAAAGAACACUGAUGACCCAGGGACGAUUGUGUCAGAGGGGUGGACUGUCAGGGAGACACAGGCACUAUCUUCAAAUGUCUGAGGAGCUGUCAUGAGAAGAGAAAAUAGAACUGCCAGAGGGCAUAAGAAGGUCAAAUGAUUGGAAAUAAGGAAAAACAGAUUUAUGCCGCAUAAAGAAAAAACUCUUGGAUUUCCCACUUUGGCGCAGUGGGUUAAGGAUCCCACUGCAGCAGCUCAGGUUACUGUGAAGGCACGGGUUCUAUCCCUGGCCCAGGAACUUCCAUGUACCAAGGGUGCUGCCAAAAAGGAAAAAGAAAAAACUCUUAACUCUUACAGCUGUCAAGAGAAAAGGAAAGAAGGGGAGGGGAGGGGUUCUUAUAGCUUCUAGCAAGGGAUUAGAGAUUCUGAUCAUCCUGCUGUUUGAUCUUUAACAUCUGUCUCCUUUCUCUGUUUUUUGUCCACAAUAGAAGCCAUUAUCGAUGAUGACCUCAGAACAUCCUUCUGGUUUGAAUAGGUUCUGGCUUCUAUCAAUAAGCAUGCCUGAGUUUUUUCCCCUUAGUUUUGAUGAUGACAAUUCUCCUUUCUUGAAUAUUUUCUAUGAAAAAGGGACUGUACAUUUUUGAAGUAGACUGUUAUCCCCAUUGUUUAGAUAAGGAAACUAAGUUUCAGAGUUGAUACUUAAUUUGUUCAAGCCACCCAGCUAGCAAGAAGGUUGAAAACUUGCUUCUAACCCAAAUGUAUGGGAUUCUUGUAAAUCCCAGGAUGCCUGGCCUAAAAAGAGUUCACAUUUAUUAUCUUGAGAGUAUUCUCAUUUUGCUCCAGCAGCCUUUGUUUCCUUACGAAGUUCUACAUCUAGAAACUGACACACAAAUUCCUGGUUGCUCAAGGAUUACCUUGGAGCUCAGCUUCAUAAAAUGUUUGCCCUUCUCAGGUCUAUUUUCUUUGCUAGGAAUGCAAACUUCCACAACAAUGCCUCCUGUCAUGUUCGGGAACUCAGUGUCCCCCGAAAUGACAUUCAGACCACAGAGGGUUCAAUGUCCUUCACCCCAAACUACAGUUAUCUUUCUUUGUACUUCACAUCAACUGUUUACUCCUUAGGGUUAACUCCUUUUCCACAUCUAAAGUAUCCUCCUUCUGAUCAAAACACUUUAUUUGUGUGUGUGUGUCUUUUGUCUUUUUUAGGGCCUCACUUGAAGUCUAUGGAGGUUCCCAGGCUAGGGGUCCAACAGGAGCUGUAGCUGCCAGCCUACACCACAGCCACAACAACUCGGGAUGGGAGCCAUGUCUAUGACCUACACCACAGCCCAUGGCAACACUGGCAAGGCCAGGGAAUCCGCCCCCUCAUGGAUACUAGUCAGGUUCAUUAACCACCAAGCCAUGACAGGAACUCCCUGCAUUUCAUUCUUUAUACUCACUCCCUCAUUUCCUGACCCUGGCACCCUGAUCACCUUGAUCUCUUGGAGAACUGUCCCCUCUUCUUCAAAAAUAUUAUUCUUGGAGUACCCAUUCUAGCCCAGUGGGUUAAUAACCCUGUGUAGUCUCCAUGAAGAUUCAGGUUCAAACCCUGGACUCCCUCAGUGGGUUAAGAAUCUGCUGUUGCCACAAGCUGAGGCAUGGGUUGCAGAUGCAGCUCAGAGCUGGUGUUGCUGUGGCUGUAGCGUAGGCCUGAAGCUGCAGCUGUGAUUUGACCCCUAGCCUGGGAACUUCCAUAUGCUGCAC
This 5209-nucleotide long non-coding RNA is filed under the name Sus scrofa (pig). RNAcentral's name for it is "lncRNA (ENSSSCG00015002121.1)". Lineage: Eukaryota; Metazoa; Chordata; Mammalia; Artiodactyla; Suidae. The record is from RNAcentral.